AGGAUGAACGCUGGCGGCGUGCCUAACACAUGCAAGUCGAACGUCCUGUCUCGCAAGAGGCAGGGAGUGGCGGACGGGUGAGUACCACGUGGGUCAUCUACCGUGAGGUGAGGAAUACCGGCGAGAAAUCGCCGACAAGACCGCAUAGGCUCGAUGCAAGUCGAGCAAAGCUCUUUCGAGAGAGGGAGCGCCACACGAGGAGCCUGCGCCCGAUUAGCUAGCUGGUGGAGUAACGGUUCACCAGGGCGACGAUCGGUAGCUGGUCUGAGAGGACGAUCAGCCACACUGGGAUUGAGAACGGCCCAGACUCCUACGGGGGGCAGCAGUGAGGAAUUUUCCGCAAUGGGCGCAAGCCUGACGGAGCAACGCCGCGUGCAGGAAGACGGUUUUCGGAUCGUAAACUGCUUUUCUCGGGACGAGAACGGACGGUACCCGAGGAAUCAGCCCGGCUAACUACGUGCCAGCAGCCGC
This 471-nucleotide ribosomal RNA is filed under the name uncultured bacterium. Its description in RNAcentral is "SSU rRNA". It matches the Rfam family "Bacterial small subunit ribosomal RNA", at positions 26 to 518 of the family's 1533-position model. The record is from RNAcentral.